Molecule: long non-coding RNA, 366 nt
Filed under: Setaria italica (foxtail millet)
Lineage: Eukaryota; Viridiplantae; Streptophyta; Magnoliopsida; Poales; Poaceae
Description: long non-coding RNA (SITA_LNC003081)
Source: RNAcentral
CGCCACUGUCGCGCUCAAGGAGGUCCACGACGCCGUCAGCGCCCGCCGCGAGGCGGAGGCCCUCCUCGCCGUCUCCCCUUCUCCGCACGUCGUCGCGCUCCUCGACCACUUCCCAGGCGGCGACUGCGACGACGAUGUCCUCGUCCUCGAGUGGGUCCCGCUCGACCUCGCCGCCGUCGUGCGCGACGCCCGGAGGCGCGCGGCCGGCGGAGGAGGCGGCAUACCCACAGCGCAGCUCAAGCGGUGGAUGCUGCAGGUGCUCGAGGGCGUCGCCGCGUGCCACCGCGCCGGCGUCGUGCACCGCGACCUCAAGCCCGCAAACCUGCUCAUCUCCGAGGACGGGGUGCUCAAGGUAGCCGAUUUUGG